AAUUGCAGAAUUCCGUGAACCAUCGAAUCUUUGAACGCAUAUUGCGCUCAACCCCUCGGGGAAGAGCAUGUCUGCCUCAGCGUCGGUUAUACCC
This 94-nucleotide ribosomal RNA is filed under the name Verrucodesmus parvus. RNAcentral describes it as "partial 5.8S ribosomal RNA". It matches the Rfam family "5.8S ribosomal RNA", at positions 70 to 154 of the family's 154-position model. Rfam says of the family: 5.8S ribosomal RNA (5.8S rRNA) is a component of the large subunit of the eukaryotic ribosome. Lineage: Eukaryota; Viridiplantae; Chlorophyta; Chlorophyceae; Sphaeropleales; Scenedesmaceae. The record is from RNAcentral.